Molecule: long non-coding RNA, 1998 nt
Filed under: Olea europaea (common olive)
Lineage: Eukaryota; Viridiplantae; Streptophyta; Magnoliopsida; Lamiales; Oleaceae
Description: long non-coding RNA (OEUR_LNC002495)
Source: RNAcentral
CAGUGUUUAACAUCUCCACACAAAGUUUUAUAAGCAACUAUAUAGAAGUACGAGAACAUCCCUUCAAACUUCAUUAGCAAAAGUAGCAAAAGCAUGCCUACACCCCUUCAUCAGCAAAAGCAAGCAAACAUUCAUAGUUAGCAAAUUGGACAGACAACAUAUUGCAUAUGGCAGUAAUCCUCAAUUUAACACGCAGUCAUCAGGUUUAACAAAAUUAUUAACUCAAAUACAGAGCCGAGCAACUCUUAACCCAAGCAAUAAUCAUAAAUCACACAAAAUUGCAUACAGUCCAAGUUCCAACGUAAUAUUUUACUAGUUUAAAAUUAAGUACAGGAGUAUAAAAAUUGCGUUCUAACCUUUUAUUUGAUGAUACUUGGAUCAAUAUCUUUGUCGUAACACAUGAUUCGACUUCUAUAUAAUAUUAUUAAUGAUGUUGACAAGCUAUUUUAAAAUGAUCUCAUAUCUCAGACAUUUUAUUUCUCCUCGCAUUUUCUAUCCAUUUUCAUACCUUCAUGGUCAUCCUCUAUUGAAAUUGCAUCAUCGGCUUCUUCUAGCAUUAGAUUCAUAUCUGUAAAAUAAAAACGAAAAAGAAAAAGAAAAAGGAAAAGGAAAAGAAACAACUGAGGAAGUGAAACUAUAAAAAAGACACAACAUUGUAGUACAAGUAACGAAAAGAAAAAGCUAUAGUUAAUUUGAAUUCAUAUAGUUAAAAUAGCCAAUAAGAAUAUAGUUUAUGCACUAUAAACUAGCAAGAAAAUUUCACCUACGUCCAUUUACUUUAGGCUACUGCAAUAUUUUCCUACUCUAACUCCCAAUGUCAAAGAACAACAAAACAUGUUUCACCUACAUUAGUACAAUUGGAAAUAUAAGAGACGCAAACAAAAAUUUUCCUUCUUUUAGAAAGCUUCAAUAAUCAAGCCUUGUAAACAAUAACAAAAUCUCAUCAAGAUCUUGAGAAUACACAUCAUAUCUUUAUAUGAAACAAUAAAAACAAAAUCAAGUCCUAGAAAUUAAAAAACUAAACUAAAAUGUCAUUUUAUAUCAAGAAUACACUUCUAAUCAUGAUAUGAAAUAGCAAAUCAAUACAAAUAAAAUUAUGAGAGGUACUACAUGUAACUUCUUGUGUACAUAAUGCAUUACACCCCCCUCACAUGAAGGGGGUUCGCAUAUUUUUUAUUGUAUGCGGCCCCCUCCAUGUGAGAGGGUGUAAAGGAUUAUGUACACAAAAAGUGUACAAGUAGACUAAUUCUAAAAUUAUACCCUAGGUACUAAAAUAAAGCAAAAUCCAAUCGCUGAUCUGAAAAAUGCACAUCAAAUCACAACACAAAAUAAUAAAAUGAAAAGGAUAAUGGAAGAAACUUAUGUUAAAUAAAUAUGAUUGAUGAAACCUAUGGAAGAAACUAACAUUAAAUUUGAAAAGCUCUAAUACCACUUGAAAAUAACUAGUUCGACUUGAAGGUUCUAUUUAGUCAAUUUAUUUUACACAACGCGUGGAAUUACUGUCAAAACUUUUUAAUUGUUUGGUUAAUCAAGCAAGUCAAUUUAUCCUAUAUUGAAUUGCCAGAAUUUGUAAUAUAAAAGCAAUAAAAAACACAAGAAUUAUUGACAGAGAAAUCCAGUUGGGUAAAAACUCUGAUACCAAGUAAGUAACCUCCACUAUAGACAAUGAUGAACUUACAGUGCGAUCCAGUCUAGAAAAUUUCAUUAGACUCUCUGAUCUACUUCCUCCAAUCUCCAAGACCCACUGAAUGUGUUUUACUCACACAUGUGCCCGAUCUUCUUAAAUUGUCUAUCUCCAGUGGAUCACCAAGAACUCUUUGUUCUUGUACUCUUCCUGUGCUCUUGGUCCAACCUCUCUCAAUCUUCAGUAACCUUUGAAAUCUCUUAAAAAAUUACCUCAUGUAUAUGUAUAGGAAGUGGGUGUUUUUGAUUAUAUGAAGUUGAUGUUUUUCUCAAAUAUAUGCUUGUAUGAAUUUAAGAAUUAAUGGAUAAAUCAAA